UCCGGCUUAUGCCGGCAGUCCCACUAGAGUGCCAAACUUAAUUGGGGCAACUAGUAGUAAGGGUUGCGCUCGUUGCGUCACUUAAGACAACAUCUCACGACACGAGCUGACGACAGCCAUGCAGCACCUGUGUCUAGGUUCCUAAAAGGCACUAACUUAUCUCUAAGUCAUUCCUAGCAUGUCAAGAGCAGGUAAGGUUCUUCGCGUUGCAUCGAAUUAAUCCACAUCAUCCACCGCUUGUGCGGGUCCCCGUCAAUUCCUUUGAGUUUUAAUCUUGCGACCGUACUCCCCAGGCGGUCUACUUCUCGCGUUAGCUUCGCUACUGAGGUUGCCCCCAACAGCAAGUAGACAUCGUUUAGGGCGUGGACUAC
Molecule: unclassified non-coding RNA, 371 nt
Filed under: uncultured Gammaproteobacteria bacterium
Lineage: Bacteria; Pseudomonadati; Pseudomonadota; Gammaproteobacteria
Description: contains 16S-23S intergenic spacer region
Source: RNAcentral